CAGUCGCCGCGGUAAUACGUAGGGUGCGAGCGUUAAUCGGAGUUACUGGGCGUAAAGCGUGCGCAGGCGGUAGUGUAAGACAGGUGUGAAAUCCCCGGGCUUAACCUGGGAACUGCGCUUGUGACUGCACAGCUAGAGUAUGGCAGAGGGGGGUGGAAUCCCACGUGUAGCAGUGAAAUGCGUAGAGAUGUGGAGGAACACCGAUGGCGAAGGCAGCCCCCUGGGCCAAUACUGACGCUCAUGCACGAAAGCGUGGGGAGCAAACAGGAUUAGAUACCCGAGUAGUCCCUGUCUCUUAUAC
RNAcentral lists this ribosomal RNA (301 nucleotides) under uncultured bacterium. Its description in RNAcentral is "partial 16S ribosomal RNA". It matches the Rfam family "Bacterial small subunit ribosomal RNA", at positions 509 to 807 of the family's 1533-position model. The record is from RNAcentral.